AAGGCCUUUGGGUUGUAAAGCUCUUUCGGCCGGGAAGAAGGGGUAGAGUGUUAAUAGCAUUUUACUUUGAUGGUACCGGAAGAAGAAGCACCGGCUAACUUCGUGC
This 106-nucleotide ribosomal RNA is filed under the name uncultured bacterium. Its description in RNAcentral is "partial 16S ribosomal RNA". The record is from RNAcentral.